This 500-nucleotide ribosomal RNA is filed under the name uncultured bacterium. RNAcentral's name for it is "partial 16S ribosomal RNA". It matches the Rfam family "Bacterial small subunit ribosomal RNA", at positions 30 to 523 of the family's 1533-position model. The record is from RNAcentral.
AUUGAACGCUGGCGGCAUGCUUUACACAUGCAAGUCGAACGGUAACAGGGAGCUUGCUCCGCUGACGAGUGGCGAACGGGUGAGUAAUAUAUCGGAACGUACCCAAGAGUGGGGGAUAACGUAGCGAAAGUUACGCUAAUACCGCAUACGAUCUAUGGAUGAAAGCAGGGGACCUUCGGGCCUUGUGCUCCUGGAGCGGCCGAUAUCUGAUUAGCUAGUUGGUGAGGUAAAGGCUCACCAAGGCGACGAUCAGUAGCUGGUCUGAGAGGACGACCAGCCACACUGGAACUGAGACACGGUCCAGACUCCUACGGGAGGCAGCAGUGGGGAAUUUUGGACAAUGGGCGCAAGUCUGAUCCAGCAAUGCCGCGUGAGUGAAGAAGGCCUUCGGGUUGUAAAGCUCUUUUGUCAGGGAAGAAACGGCUGUGGCUAAUAUCCACGGCUAAUGACGGUACCUGAAGAAUAAGCACCGGCUAACUACGUGCCAGCAGCCGCGGUAA